This 403-nucleotide long non-coding RNA is filed under the name Helianthus annuus (common sunflower). Its description in RNAcentral is "hypothetical non coding rna". Lineage: Eukaryota; Viridiplantae; Streptophyta; Magnoliopsida; Asterales; Asteraceae. The record is from RNAcentral.
UCUCUCUCAGUCUAACUCACUCGCAUACCCUCUAUCUCUGGUCCUUAGGUACUUGGAACGCAGGAACUUGCUGGCUGGAGGGUGCGAGUGGUCAUGGUUGCAUUGAUGAGUUGACUAUAUAUUAGGAAAUGGCUCAAUGAAGAUGUCUUAUAUGGUAGGAUAUGGGCACAAACUACCCAAUAAGAGUUCAUCAUAGAGUAACUCACCUGCAAUCAUUUGGAUGUGUAGGAUAUGGCACAAACUACAUGCAAAUGAAAAGUAAAUCUCUAAUUCCUUUUCCCAAUUAAAUUGUUUCUCAUUAAAAGACCAUAAAAAAACUAAGACAACACAACAAUUAUCCGAGUUUUGCUUGGUGUUUAUUAGUUUAUUACUUUCAAAUGUUGUAAGAUGCACAAGACCUGGA